RNAcentral lists this ribosomal RNA (760 nucleotides) under uncultured archaeon. Its description in RNAcentral is "bacterial SSU rRNA". It matches the Rfam family "Archaeal small subunit ribosomal RNA", at positions 111 to 879 of the family's 1478-position model. The record is from RNAcentral.
UCUGUGAGGAAGGGGUACCCCGGGAACUGGGGAUAAUACCUCAUAGGUUACGGAGGCUGGAAUGCCCUGUAACCCAAAGCUCCGGCGCCUCAGGAUGAGUCUGCGGCCGAUUAGGUUGUUGUUGGGGUAACGGCCCAACAAGCCGAUAAUCGGUACGGGUUGUGGGAGCAAGAGCCCGGAGAUGGAUUCUGAGACAUGAAUCCAGGCCCUACGGGGCGCAGCAGGCGCGAAAACUUUACAAUGCGAGCAAUCGUGAUAAGGGAACCCCGAGUGCCUGUACACGCAGGCUGUUCAGAUGUCUAAAACACAUCUGGAGAAAGGGCCGGGCAAGACCGGUGCCAGCCGCCGCGGUAAUACCGGCGGCUCGAGUGGUGGCCACUAUUACUGGGCUUAAAGCGUCCGUAGCUGGGUUGUUAAGUCUCCUGAGAAAUCUGCCGGCUUAACCGUCAGGCGUUCAGGAGAUACUGGCAAUCUCGGGACUGGGGGAGGUGAGAGGUACUCCGGGGGUAGGAGUGAAAUCCUGUAAUCCUCGGGGGACCACCUGUGGCGAAGGCGUCUCACCAGAACAGCUCCGACAGUGAGGGACGAAAGCUGGGGGAGCAAACCGGAUUAGAUACCCGGGUAGUCCCAGCUGUAAACGAUGCGCGUUAGGUGUGUCGGUAACCACGAGUUACCGAGGUGCCGUAGGGAAACUGCUAAACGCGCCGCCUGGGAAGUACGGUCGCAAGGCUGAAACUUAAAGGAAUUGGCGGGGGAGCAC